Long non-coding RNA from Sorghum bicolor (sorghum), 1061 nucleotides. RefSeq lists it as uncharacterized. NCBI's taxonomy places the organism in Eukaryota, Viridiplantae, Streptophyta, Magnoliopsida, Poales, Poaceae. The transcript is spliced from 2 exons. The record is from RefSeq and is a predicted model, not a curated record.
AAAAUUGCAAGUCGAGUGACUUUGUGACCUGCAGUUCUGUGUGCUUUGAUUGAUUUUCCAUGUGCUGAAAAAUCCCUGCAGUUCUAAGUGCUCUGAUUUGUAUAUUUCUUUUUCCCUUCAUCCAAAUUGCUGCUUUGGCUAGAUUUUGAGAAUAAGUAAUUUGGAUAAAAAUAGUACCUGAAUGCUUAAGUAACUCUAGAGUGAUUGUUUGAUGGCAGAAUAUAACAUUUAGUUAGUCGUACCUAUUCUUAAUAAGUUGGGUGGCACUUCCCUAAAAAAAUUGUUAAUCAGCAACUAAACCUACCCAUUCUGAAUGCCAUAGACCAUAUUCAUAGAGAGAGAGUGAGGUGCACAGAUAACAAUAGUUAGAGCAUGCUUUACAUCUUUUAGCAAAUCCUUGCAAGAUGAGUGACUUUGUGACCUGCAGUUCUGUGUGCUUUGAUUGAUUUCCAUGUGCUGAAAAAUCCCUGCAGUUCUAAGUGCUCUGAUUUGUAUAUUUCUUUUUCCCUUCAUCCAAAUUGUUGCUUUGGCAUUAGAUUUUGAAAAUAAGUAAUUUGGAUAAAAAUAGUACCUGAAUGCUUAAGUAACUCUAGAGUGAUUGUUUAAUGGCAAAAUAUAACUUGAAGCUCAUAUGGGUGUGGUCUGAUGGUCUCUAUGUUUUUUAAAGAACAGGUAGACUAUAGGGAUUGUGGGUUAUUUCAAUGGAAAAUAGGGGCUCUCCUGCACCAUUGGGUGACAAGACUAACUCUAUUAAUGAAGGAAGUGAUGUUGUACAGCGUAGGCGAGAAAGAGAUAAGGCUCGAUGGCAUGCAAUGUCUCAAGAGAAAAAGGAUGAAAAAAAUAAAAACGUCGAGAAGCAUAUAAAAGAAAAAAGGAGCAACAACUGUGUAUUGAAACAGUCAAUGGUUGUAUAGUAGAAAUAUUGGUGAAUAAAAAUAUAGAUAUUACUAUUCAUGUUUCUCAUAUGUGCUAUGUCUCAAUUGGUAGAUGGACAGGAUGUAUCAAACAAGGAAAAUAUGGAUCCUAAUGAAACAAAUGACUGGUUACAUAGGAAUGAUUUA